UUUCUUUUAAAGGCUGAAGGGAAGAGAGAAAGAAGGAAUCAUAAUUUGAAGAAGUGCAGUGUCUUGUGUGGUUCGAAGAAGAAAUCUAGUCCAAUGUAAGUCCAAUUAUGUCCUGAUAAAAUUAGAGAUAACGUUAGAUCAACUGGAUAACCAAUGAAUAAAGGCUUUCAGGAUUGUUGAUACAGCUCAUAGUCAUUCCACACUUCGGUUAUGAGAUCAACCAUAAUCAAGAGUCAUAAGAGUGUUAAUCCAAAUCAAAGAAACUGUUAGGCUAAGUUCAUUGUUCCCUACAAAAAUUUUGACUCAAUAAAACACAAAAAAUAAAAAUAAAAAUUUGGACUGACUCGAUAAAACUCCAAAAGAAUAAACGAUGUUAGUAACUACCUC
Molecule: long non-coding RNA, 387 nt
Filed under: Capsella rubella
Lineage: Eukaryota; Viridiplantae; Streptophyta; Magnoliopsida; Brassicales; Brassicaceae
Description: long non-coding RNA (CRUB_LNC000900)
Source: RNAcentral